This 1501-nucleotide ribosomal RNA is filed under the name Marinobacter sp. GX5A5-2. RNAcentral's name for it is "bacterial SSU rRNA". It matches the Rfam family "Bacterial small subunit ribosomal RNA". Lineage: Bacteria; Pseudomonadati; Pseudomonadota; Gammaproteobacteria; Pseudomonadales; Marinobacteraceae. The record is from RNAcentral.
GAGUUUGAUCCUGGCUCAGAUUGAACGCUGGCGGCAGGCUUAACACAUGCAAGUCGAGCGGUAACAGGGGGUGCUUGCACCCCGCUGACGAGCGGCGGACGGGUGAGUAAUGCAUAGGAAUCUGCCCAGUAGUUGGGGAUAGCCCGGGGAAACCCGGAUUAAUACCGAAUACGCCCUACGGGGGAAAGCAGGGGAUCUUCGGACCUUGCGCUAUUGGAUGAGCCUAUGUCGGAUUAGCUAGUUGGUGGGGUAACGGCCUACCAAGGCGACGAUCCGUAGCUGGUCUGAGAGGAUGAUCAGCCACAUCGGGACUGAGACACGGCCCGAACUCCUACGGGAGGCAGCAGUGGGGAAUAUUGGACAAUGGGGGCAACCCUGAUCCAGCCAUGCCGCGUGUGUGAAGAAGGCUUUCGGGUUGUAAAGCACUUUCAGUGAGGAGGAAAACCUUAAGGUUAAUACCCUUGAGGCUUGACGUUACUCACAGAAGAAGCACCGGCUAACUCCGUGCCAGCAGCCGCGGUAAUACGGAGGGUGCAAGCGUUAAUCGGAAUUACUGGGCGUAAAGCGCGCGUAGGUGGUUCGAUAAGCGAGAUGUGAAAGCCCCGGGCUUAACCUGGGAACGGCAUUUCGAACUGUCGGGCUAGAGUGUGGUAGAGGGUAGUGGAAUUUCCUGUGUAGCGGUGAAAUGCGUAGAUAUAGGAAGGAACACCAGUGGCGAAGGCGGCUACCUGGACCAACACUGACACUGAGGUGCGAAAGCGUGGGGAGCAAACAGGAUUAGAUACCCUGGUAGUCCACGCCGUAAACGAUGUCAACUAGCCGUUGGGGAUCUUGAAUCCUUAGUGGCGCAGCUAACGCACUAAGUUGACCGCCUGGGGAGUACGGCCGCAAGGUUAAAACUCAAAUGAAUUGACGGGGGCCCGCACAAGCGGUGGAGCAUGUGGUUUAAUUCGACGCAACGCGAAGAACCUUACCUGGCCUUGACAUCCUGCGAACUUUCUAGAGAUAGAUUGGUGCCUUCGGGAACGCAGUGACAGGUGCUGCAUGGCCGUCGUCAGCUCGUGUCGUGAGAUGUUGGGUUAAGUCCCGUAACGAGCGCAACCCCUAUCCCUAGUUGCUAGCAGUUCGGCUGAGAACUCUAGGGAGACUGCCGGUGACAAACCGGAGGAAGGUGGGGAUGACGUCAGGUCAUCAUGGCCCUUACGGCCAGGGCUACACACGUGCUACAAUGGCGCGCACAGAGGGCUGCAAACUCGCGAGGGUAAGCCAAUCUCUUAAAACGCGUCGUAGUCCGGAUCGCAGUCUGCAACUCGACUGCGUGAAGUCGGAAUCGCUAGUAAUCGCGAAUCAGAAUGUCGCGGUGAAUACGUUCCCGGGCCUUGUACACACCGCCCGUCACACCAUGGGAGUGGAUUGCACCAGAAAUGGUUAGUCUAACCUUCGGGAGGACGAUCACCACGGUGUGGUUCAUGACUGGGGUGAAGUCGUAACAAGGUAGCCG